Molecule: ribosomal RNA, 468 nt
Filed under: uncultured bacterium
Lineage: Bacteria
Description: partial 16S ribosomal RNA
Rfam family: Bacterial small subunit ribosomal RNA
Source: RNAcentral
GACGAACGCUGGCGGCGUGCUUAACACAUGCAAGUCGAACGGAAAGGCCCUGCUUUUGUGGGGUGCUCGAGUGGCGAACGGGUGAGUAACACGUGAGUAACCUGCCCUGGACUUUGGGAUAACUUCAGGAAACUGGGGCUAAUACCGGAUAGGAGCUCCUGCUGCAUGGUGGGGGUUGGAAAGUUUCGGCGGGUGGGGAUGGACUCGCGGCUUAUCAGCUUGUUGGUGGGGUAGUGGCUUACCAAGGCUUUGACGGGUAGCCGGCCUGAGAGGGUGACCGGCCACAUUGGGACUGAGAUACGGCCCAGACUGCUACGGGAGGCAGCAGUGGGGAAUAUUGCACAAUGGGCGGAAGCCUGAUGCAGCAACGCCGCGUGCGGGAUGACGGCCUUCGGGUUGUAAACCGCUUUCGCCUGUGACGAAGCGUGAGUGACGGUAAUGGGUAAAGAAGCACCGGCUAACUACGUG